GUGAAGUGUCGUUGUGUUUUAUUCUGACGUAGGGGAAAUUAUUAUUAUUAUUGUUGUUAUUAUUUAUUAUUCAUUACAAAUCUGUGUGCUGCUGACCAACAUUGAGCUGAACAUGUGUCCUAAACUGUGUAGGCUGAUCCCAGUGAUGGUCUCACCUAUGCCUCCGUCUCCUUCUCUAAGAAGAAGAAGCAGAGCAGGGCUGAAGGACAGGGUCUGGGUGGUGAUGAUGAUGAUGAAGAAGUGACGUAUCACACUGUGAGAGCUCCUCCUUCCUCUGCCGCGGUCUCUGAUGAUGCCAGUGUCCUCUACGCCACUGUCAACACACACACACAACAUGGGAAAAACUAGAAGAAGCGAGACGCCACUCUUCCACGUGCUGUCCACGCCUCGUGGGUCACAGGGCUCGCUGCUCCCUUCUCUUGGGGAAGGAAUCCAGCACACAAAGACCAACCGGAGAACCCGGGCAAAGAAAGAAAACAGGUCUCCAAGCAAGCAAUCCUCUCCAAUCCAAACGGCAUUAAUUAACUUAAACUGUUGUACCUGUCCAGUUACCCCGCUCUUCUGAGCCGUCCGGGUCGCCGCUGCACCUCCUCUGCUGAUCCGGGGAGGGCUGCAGACUACCACAUGCCUCCUCCAAUACAUGUGGAGUCGCCAGCCGCUUCUUUUCACCUGAGAGUGAGGAGUUUCACCAGGAGGACGCAGCGCAUGGGAUGAUCACGCUAUUACCCCCAGUCCCCCCUCCCCCCUGAACAGGCGCCACGACUGACCAGAGGAGGCGCUAGUGCAGUGAACACCACACAUACCCACAUCCAGCUUCCCACCUGCAGACAUCUCCAAUUGUGUCUGUAGGGACCAAGCCGGAGGUAACAUGGGGAAUCGAACUGGCGAACCCUGUGUUGGUAGGCUACGGAAUAGACCACUACGCUACCCGGACGCCUCGAGUCCAAAGUUUUAAUCUGUGUGUUGAUGACCAGCUGUAGUAAAGGUUUCCAGCUGGCCCGCUACCAGCCAGCAGUAGCAGAGCACAGGGCUUACACACCGUAUUGCAGAAGUAGGACUGAUGUAGCAAGAAUACACAGCAUGAUAUCAAUAUCACAUUCCCAGCUGAAGAGCUCGGUUACAAUUCAGAACUCGUGUGUACAUAUUCUGCGGUGUGUUGUUGUCAAAUCUGACCAUUUGAGCCACCGUACUCCCCCCAGAGCAAAUAUGGUGUUGAGGCUUUGCUCAAGGGCACUUGUGGGGCAAUAAUGGUGAACAACAUCACUGACUUGAUAUUAGACGCCAUGCAGUCAUGACAUCUCUGCAUUGGUAGCUUCAUUCUUCUGACGAUGCUUCUGUCCACACUCACAACAUGUCAGUGGUUGGUCAACCUCUCCACUGCUGGUCUGUGGUCUGUAAUCCACGUUUGUC
Molecule: long non-coding RNA, 1410 nt
Organism: Lampris incognitus (smalleye Pacific opah)
Lineage: Eukaryota; Metazoa; Chordata; Actinopteri; Lampriformes; Lampridae
Exons: 4
Source: RefSeq, a predicted model, not a curated record